GUGGGGAAUCUUGCGCAAUGGGUGAAAGCCUGACGCAGCCAUGCCGCGUGAAUGAUGAAGGUCUUAGGAUUGUAAAAUUCUUUCACCGGGGACGAUAAUGACGGUACCCGGAGAAGAAGCCCCGGCUAACUUCGUGCCAGCAGCCGCGGUAAUACGAAGGGGGCUAGCGUUGCUCGGAAUUACUGGGCGUAAAGGGCGCGUAGGCGGACAGUUUAGUCAGAGGUGAAAGCCCAGGGCUCAACCUUGGAAUUGCCUUUGAUACUGGCUGUCUUGAGUACGGGAGAGGUGAGUGGAACUCCGAGUGUAGAGGUGAAAUUCGUAGAUAUUCGGAAGAACACCAGUGGCGAAGGCGACUCACUGGCCCGUUACUGACGCUGAGGCGCGAAAGCGUGGGGAGCAAACAGGAUUAGAUACCCGAGUAGUCC
Molecule: ribosomal RNA, 425 nt
Filed under: uncultured bacterium
Lineage: Bacteria
Description: bacterial SSU rRNA
Rfam family: Bacterial small subunit ribosomal RNA
Source: RNAcentral